Molecule: non-coding RNA, 190 nt
Filed under: Desulfotomaculum sp.
Lineage: Bacteria; Bacillati; Bacillota; Clostridia; Eubacteriales; Desulfotomaculaceae
Source: RNAcentral
AUUAAUAAUUUUUGCCAGGGCGCCUCUGUCCUGGAAGGCAGAGGGUAAUAGGGAACCAGGUUGAAAUCCUGGACGGUCGGGCCACUGUGAAUGGGGAGCCGCCAAACGAAAAGCCACUGAGUUAAUUCGGGAAGGCAUUUGGCUGUAAUGAUCCUAAAGUCAGGAAACCUGCCCUGGUAGUCCGGUAUAU